GAAAAAGAAAAGCUGGCUGUGACAUCUGUCACCCUACUGAUUACCAGCACUGAUUCCUCUGAUCUGGCUACCUUGGCAGGUGUCCCCUUUCUCCCUAACCACUCCAUGUGUAUCCCUUCCAAAGCUGCAAGAUUGGUUGAAGGGGAUGACUUUCCUCUAACAGAGGAGGACCGGUCUUCAGUCAAGGGUAUACAAGUAGCUGCGCUCCCCUGCUAGAACCUUCAAACAAGCUCUCGAGGUCCAUUUGUAGGAUAACGUAUGGUAGUCAAGCUUCUUAGACUCCAGACACAUCCAAAUGAGGAACUGCACGUGGCAGUCUGUCUUU
Molecule: small nuclear RNA, 325 nt
Filed under: Jaculus jaculus (lesser Egyptian jerboa)
Lineage: Eukaryota; Metazoa; Chordata; Mammalia; Rodentia; Dipodidae
Description: 7SK RNA (ENSJJAG00000007130.1)
Rfam family: 7SK RNA
About the family: 7SK was discovered as an abundant small nuclear RNA in the mid-70s but a possible function has only recently been suggested. Two independent studies have found that 7SK RNA binds the CDK9/cyclin T complex (known as elongation factor P-TEFb). P-TEFb activates transcription by phosphorylating the C-terminal domain of RNA polymerase II.
Source: Rfam by way of RNAcentral